ACUUAGUGGCAGACGGGUGAGUAACAUGUAGGUAUCUGCCCUUUGGCCUGGAAUAACACGAGGAAACUUGUGCUAAUACCGGAUAAGUCUUUACGGAGAAAGCUUUAUGCACCAUUGGAUGAGCCUGCACUUGAUUAGUUUGUUGGUGGGGUAAUGGCCUACCAAGACUGUGAUCAAUAGCUGAUUUGAGAGGAUGAUCAGCCACAUUGGGACUGAGACACGGCCCAAACUCCUACGGGAGGCAGCAGUGGGGAAUCUUGCACAAUGGAGGAAACUCUGAUGCAGCGAUGCCGCGUGAGUGAAGAAGGCCUUUGGGUUGUAAAGCUCUUUCGUCGGGGAAGAAAAUGACUGUACCCGAAUAAGAAGGUCCGGCUAACUUCGUGCCAGCAGCCGCGGUAAUACGAAGGGACCUAGCGUAGUUCGGAAUUACUGGGCUUAAAGAGUUCGUAGGUGGUUGAAAAAGUUAGUGGUGAAAUCCCAGAGCUUAACUCUGGAACUGCCAUUAAAACUUUUCAGCUAGAGUAUGAUA
This 529-nucleotide ribosomal RNA is filed under the name uncultured Pelagibacterales bacterium. Its description in RNAcentral is "bacterial SSU rRNA". It matches the Rfam family "Bacterial small subunit ribosomal RNA", at positions 90 to 653 of the family's 1533-position model. Lineage: Bacteria; Pseudomonadati; Pseudomonadota; Alphaproteobacteria; Candidatus Pelagibacterales. The record is from RNAcentral.